CUGACUAUUGUUUGUGCAUAUGCACCAAUCAGCAGUUCAGAGUACCCAGCCUUCUUGGAGACUCUAGGAAGGGGUGUGAGAGAG
Molecule: long non-coding RNA, 84 nt
Organism: Thalassophryne amazonica
Lineage: Eukaryota; Metazoa; Chordata; Actinopteri; Batrachoidiformes; Batrachoididae
Exons: 3
Source: RefSeq, a predicted model, not a curated record